Long non-coding RNA from Raphanus sativus (radish), 449 nucleotides. RefSeq lists it as uncharacterized. The record is from RefSeq and is a predicted model, not a curated record. The transcript has 3 exons. NCBI's taxonomy places the organism in Eukaryota, Viridiplantae, Streptophyta, Magnoliopsida, Brassicales, Brassicaceae.
CAUAGACGAAGUUGAUCUUGUAUUGGUGUUUGGUAGAUCUGAAGGAAACACCAGGGUUAGUGAUGUUGAAUUUUUCGAGGUUUCUCCACAUUCCAACACCAAGCACAUUUGGAAGUUUCCUUGUCAACUUAUCGAGGUAUGGAGAACCUUUACUUGUACACGAGCAUCUGUCAUGAAUGGUUUGAGGUCGGCCAAAGCAGUGAAUUCCAUGAUCACAGAUGAUUGAUCAACGUUUAUGGAAAAGCCAUAUACUGUCUGAGUUGUCUGAGUUUGUGUCGAAAAGAAAUAUGCAGAAGUAAUAGCUGUUCUUUAGAUGUGGUAAGAUAUUAAGUUAGAUUAGUGGUUAAGAAGUUAUAUAAAUAUGUCGUCUAUAACCACCUGCAUUGUUUGUUUGUUUUUUUUAAAUAGACCCAACAUAUAUCAAUAGGGCAUACUGCAACUUUAAUAGU